CAGACAGCGGUUCUGAUAACCUUAAACACACACAACACGCUGCUCACAUCUUGCUUUCAGUGUGGAUUGAAUGGAACCGUGCUUCUAAUGUGUUUUAUCAAUAAGGGGCACAAGAACUUAGGAGUGACUGCUGCAUGCUCAAGUGAAUGGCUCUGGAGGAGAAGAAACAUGUAUCACUGGGGCAAAGACAGGUAAGCGUAAAACUAGUAGAGCAGAUUGAAUUGUAAGUUCUAACAUUUAUGCGUAGCAUAACUUAAAUUGAGGUAAACUAGCAAGAUGGGCUUGUUCACACAUGCUUGAUUCAGCCUUGAGGCCUACUUGUCUUGCUUGUGAAAGCAUUAGCAAGCUAACACGAGGUUAAAGUGGAGUUUUGGCUGAUUUGUUGGAGCAAUUAUCAAGACACGGUGGAUACUGGUUAAUUGUGAGGUGCAACACUUGUUGCAAACAGGCAUGCAAAAGCACAACAAAGUUGUGGAGUACAGUAAAACCUAAUGGAUCAGAAGCAACAACUGACAGAUGCACCAGCACCUGCAGCACAUGAUGACAGCCCAUGUACUGGAUACUCAUGCAUGGUGGUGUGACCCACCCCAAACAGCAUCCCCCGACUGAAACAUGUUCCCACGGCUGUCUGCUGGGCCAGGCCUGCUCAAUUGUGUAACCACCAUCACUGUAUAACUGGAUCCACUAGUUUCACAAAUGGAAAAUUAAUAAUCACAGAAAACUUUAAGCAAAUGUCAAGCGCUUUGUUGUGUUAGGUAUUUUUAGGCCCCUUGGGAAUCCUAUCCCCUGAUCUCCCUCACUGAGCCCGAUGA
This is a long non-coding RNA of Monopterus albus (swamp eel), 812 nucleotides long. RefSeq lists it as uncharacterized. The transcript is spliced from 3 exons. NCBI's taxonomy places the organism in Eukaryota, Metazoa, Chordata, Actinopteri, Synbranchiformes, Synbranchidae. The record is from RefSeq and is a predicted model, not a curated record.